CUUGGUCAUUUAGAGGAAGUAAAAGUCGUAACAAGGUUUCCGUAGGUGAACCUGCGGAAGGAUCAUUCAUAAUAAGUGUUUUAUGGCACUUUUUAAAUCCAUAUCCACCUUGUGUGCAAUGUCAGUCGAUCUUCUUCAUGGAGAUCGACCAAACAUCAACCUUUAUUUUUUAACUCUUUGUCUGAAAAAUAUUAUGAAUAAACAAUUCAAAAUACAACUUUCAACAACGGAUCUCUUGGCUCUCGCAUCGAUGAAGAACGCAGCGAAAUGCGAUACGUAAUGUGAAUUGCAGAAUUCAGUGAAUCAUCGAAUCUUUGAACGCAUAUUGCGCUCUUUGGUAUUCCGAAGAGCAUGCUUGUUUGAGUAUCAGUAAACACCUCAAAGCUUUUGGAUUUUUUAAUCGAAAAGCUUUGGACUUGAGCAAUCCCAACACCAAUCUUUUUGAGAUCGGUGGCGGGUUGCUUGAAAUGCAGGUGCAGCUGGACAUUCUCCUGAACUAAAAGCAUAUUCAUUUAGUCCCGUCAAACGGAUUAUUACUUUUGCUGCAGCUAACAUAAAGGGAGUUUGACCGUAUUGGCUGACUGAUGCAGGAUUUCACAAGGGUCGGCAACGAUUCUUGUUAAACUCGAUCUCAAAUCAAGUAAGACUACCCGCUGAACUUAAGCAUAUCAAUAAGCGGAGGAAAAGAAACUAACAAGGAUUCCCCUAGUAACGGCGAGUGAAGCGGGAUGAGCUCAAAUUUAAAAUCUGGCUGGUUUACUAGUCCGAAUUGUAGUUUAUAGAAGCGUUUUCGGUGGCAGCCUGGGUAUAAAUCCUUUGGAAUAGGGUAUCAUAGAGGGUGAGAAUCCCGUCUUUGACUCAGUGCAUGCUACUAUGUGAUACGUUUUCAAAGAGUCGAGUUGUUUGGGAAU
Molecule: small RNA, 911 nt
Filed under: uncultured zygomycete
Lineage: Eukaryota; Fungi
Description: eukaryotic LSU rRNA
Rfam family: Eukaryotic large subunit ribosomal RNA (bases 627-911)
Source: RNAcentral